RNA transcript from Eriocheir sinensis (Chinese mitten crab), 2440 nucleotides. RefSeq lists it as uncharacterized. The transcript is spliced from 12 exons. NCBI's taxonomy places the organism in Eukaryota, Metazoa, Arthropoda, Malacostraca, Decapoda, Varunidae. The record is from RefSeq and is a predicted model, not a curated record.
GGAAGGCGGCGAUCAGCUGUUCCGGCCGCGUGACAGGCACUCGGGCAGCAGGGCGGGGAGCUACAUUUACUCCUCCACCGAGUGUUUUCAAGUACUCUUCCACCACUCCUCUACACCAGCUCACCUGUAUACCACAUAACCAUACCACCUGGAAGCCUCUAAUUAUGGACAACCCGGCUGAGUGCAAGGUCUGCUUUGCCAUGUUCACCCCAGGGGAGGAGCACCGACCCAGGUCACUCCCCUGCGGGCACACCUUCUGCACCUCCUGCGUGGCGCAUCUCCUGAAGAAGGGGGCCGGGUGUCUAGCCUGUCCCGAGUGUCGCCUUCAGCACCCAGCCCCCAGAGCCACCCACUUCCCGGUUAACUAUGGGAUGGAGGCACUCAUAGAUCAGCUGAAGUGCCUGGUGAUGCCUCCUGGGGUAGUAGCUGCAGCAGGGCCAGAGGGAGCAGGGUGCUGUGAGGAGGGUGCAAUGAAGCAGCCGGAUACGGAGGCUAUGAAGGAGAAGGUGAUUGAGUUGCUGGUGGCAUGUGGCGCUACUCAGACGCAGCUCGAGCAACACCAGGAGAAGUUAAAAGAACCCAGAGCUCGCCACACGACUCUCCUGAACCGACUCGGUAACCUGGUGGGCGACAACAGGGCGGCCCUCGUGAGGCUGAACGGGUCACUGGGGAAAGUGCGGGACCUGGCGGAGGAGGGCAAAGGUUACGUCCUACAGCUCCAGGUGGCUCUGAGUCGCCUUGAGUCGGUCAGCACAGCACAGGAAGCGGAUAUUGUGGUGGAGAGAGUUGCCGGCAGGGUGGAGCAGGUGGAGGAGUGGAGGGAGAGGAGUGGCCGCCUCUGUUAUGAUGAGGGCGAUGGUGCAUUGACUACAUCGUGCCAGGUCCUGGGGGCUACACAGGCAGCAUUUAGCACCCUGGCAGCUCAAGGCAUUGGUGCUGAGGGUGGUGCUGACUUCAUUGGUGGUGCUGACCUCAGUGGUGAUGACAUUGGUUCCGAGGCUGGUGUCGACAUUGGUGCUGAGGACAAUGCUGAUGUCCUUGUGAGAGCUCAAAACACACUCACUCCAUUGCCCUCGCACACGCACACACUCACACCACAUGACAUACGCACCAUGACGCCGCAGGUGAAGAGGAUGCUGGAGAAUGGACAGGUGUGGGGGGUGCACCGGGAGGGCUCAAGCAACCCCCGCUCCUCAAUGUUUACCUUAGAAGGCGAUCGUUUGCACCUGUAUCACCUAUGUAACCACCCUCCACCUGCACAUGCCCAAACCUUGCAGGUGUCUAAUUACCUGCCUGGCAACUUCCACUUCUGCACCCUGGCAUUCCUUGACCUGGCCUGGGGCUUGGAGGUCAGAGGUCGCGUGUAUAUUCGCCUUGACAUGUUCACCCCCCUGGCCAGACAGUUCAUGAUGCUGUGCACAGCUGAGCACCGACACACCUACGCCAACACUGCCAUGCUAAAGACUUGAACUCGUCAACAUUUUCCUUGGCCACCUGAGCGAUCUCGAGGAGGCGCAGCUCAUCCUUGUACCUGAUGAGAGUGCCACCCUGAGGAGUGAAGGAGAAAGAAGAUAUGGGGAGGGGAGAGGAGAAGAUGAAGGAAGAGAUGAGUGGAGGAGAAAAGAAGAUAUGGGGAGGGGAGAGGAGAAGAUGAAGGAAGAGAUAAGUGGAGGAGAAAAGAAGAUAUGGGGGGGGGAGAGGAGAAGAUGAAGGUAAUUGAGAUGAAGGAAGAGAUGAGUGGAGGAGAAAAGAAGAUAUGGGGAGGGGAGAGGAGAAGAUGAAGGAAGAGAUAAGUGGAGGAGAAAAGAAGAUAUGGGGAGGGGAGAGGAGAAGAUGAAGGCACGCCCACUCACCUGUCCUCCUCCUCGGCUCCGCAAGUCCUCGGCAGUGGCAUGAGAGACUCGCGGUUGAUCCUCGGGUACCGGGAUUGCUUGAAGAGGGAGGUUAACAUGGCUGAAGAGUGGCAAGGAACAAGAAGCAGUAGGAAAGGAAUCACAUGAGUGAGAGAUGGCUGGACGAUGACAAGGAAGCAAUGGUAAGGGAGCCAAGUAGAAAGAUGAAGACUACUGGAUGACUACAGAGAAGAAGCAGUAGUAAAAGAACUUAAUGGGAAGACAAGCAAAGCUUUUUACGACAGAGCUUCCAAUUAACGAAUAACAGGAUGUAAUGAUUAUAAGAAGCCACAUAGGAAGGGGAAGAUAUUUCAAGGCCAUCAAGACAAAGUAAAGAAGACCGAGCUGGAAGACAAGUUGCUGACAACAAAGAACAACUGGGAAUCAAAUUCUACUGUUACAAACAUUCCCAGCGUGAGAGUACCGGGUGUGAGCAGAGGAAGAAUGCCGUGCUGGAUGGAUACGUGAUGCCAUCCUGGGCCACUGUGCCAGGGAGGACAUUGCCGCAGCCUUCACCUGGCCCACGAAACAGCCUGGAGUGACAAAUG